CUUCCGUUUUAAUACACUAGUCGAGUGGAAAUUUUAGGCAAUGACGCUAAAUUUUCGAUACGAUUCGACUCUCGAAAAACGACUUGCAUUCGGCACGACUCUCGCAAUGAGGCUCCUUGCAUUGGAAACAGUUAUACACACUGGAAAUCAGUGUCGUCAGCAAAUUAAUUUGGACUUUCAAGUUCUCAAAGCUAC
This is a long non-coding RNA of Rhagoletis zephyria (snowberry fruit fly), 195 nucleotides long. RefSeq lists it as uncharacterized. The record is from RefSeq and is a predicted model, not a curated record. NCBI's taxonomy places the organism in Eukaryota, Metazoa, Arthropoda, Insecta, Diptera, Tephritidae.